Molecule: ribosomal RNA, 256 nt
Filed under: Spondylurus sloanii
Lineage: Eukaryota; Metazoa; Chordata; Lepidosauria; Squamata; Scincidae
Description: partial 16S ribosomal RNA
Source: RNAcentral
CUGUCUCUUAUAACUAAUCAGUGAAACUGAUCUUCCAGUACAAAAGCUGGAAUAAUCACAUAAUACGAGAAGACCCUGUGGAGCUUAAAACAAGCCGCUAAAUAGACACCCGUCUGCCUUAGCGCACGUUUUUAGUUGGGGCGACUUCGGAAUAAAAAACAACUUCCGAGCACAGAGCCCAACCUCUAACUAAGGCUAACAAGCCAAAGCACCAAAACAGACCCGGCCUAGCCGAUCAACGAACCAAGUUACCCCA